This 708-nucleotide ribosomal RNA is filed under the name uncultured bacterium. RNAcentral describes it as "bacterial SSU rRNA". It matches the Rfam family "Bacterial small subunit ribosomal RNA", at positions 104 to 828 of the family's 1533-position model. The record is from RNAcentral.
GGGUGAGUAACACGUGAGCAACCUGCCCUUCAGAGGGGAAUAACGUUUGGAAACGAACGCUAAUACCGCAUAACAUUGGGAUAUGGCAUCAUGACCCAAUCAAAGAUUUAUCGCUGAAAGAUGGGCUCGCGCCCGAUUAGGUAGUUGGUGAGAUAAUAGCCCACCAAGCCGACGAUCGGUAGCCGGACUGAGAGGUUGAACGGCCACAUUGGGACUGAGACACGGCCCAGACUCCUACGGGAGGCAGCAGUGGGGGAUAUUGCACAAUGGGGGGAACCCUGAUGCAGCGACGCCGCGUGAGGGAAGACGGUUUUCGGAUUGUAAACCUCUGUCUUUAGGGACGAAACAAAUGACGGUACCUAAAGGGGAAGCCACGGCUAACUACGUGCCAGCAGCCGCGGUAAUACGUAGGUGGCAAGCGUUGUCCGGAAUUACUGGGUGUAAAGGGAGCGUAGGCGGGAAUGCAAGUUGAAUGUUUAAACUAUGGGCUCAACCCAUAGUCGCGUUCAAAACUGCAUUUCUUGAGUGGAGUAGAGGCAGGCGGAAUUCCUAGUGUAGCGGUGAAAUGCGUAGAUAUUAGGAGGAACACCAGUGGCGAAGGCGGCCUGCUGGGCUCUAACUGACGCUGAGGCUCGAAAGCGUGGGUAGCAAACAGGAUUAGAUACCCUGGUAGUCCACGCCGUAAACGAUGAUUACUAGGUGUGGGGG